UAAGGAAUAUUGGUCAAUGGACGCAAGUCUGAACCAGCCAUGCUGCGUGAAGGAUUAAGGCCCUCUGGGUUGUAAACUUCUUUUAUAGGGGAAGGAAUGUGACGGUUCUCCGUCACUUGACGGUACCCUGGGAAUAAGCACCGGCUAACUCCGUGCCAGCAGCCGCGGUAAUACGGAGGGUGCAAGCGUUAUCCGGAUUCACUGGGUUUAAAGGGUGCGUAGGUGGGCAGAUAAGUCAGUGGUGAAAUCUUCCGGCUUAACCGGGAAACUGCCGUUGAUACUAUUUGUCUUGAAUAUUGCGGAGGUUAGCGGAAUAUGUCAUGUAGCGGUGAAAUGCUUAGAUAUGACAUAGAACACCAAUUGCGAAGGCAGCUUACUACACAAUCAUUGACACUGAGGCACGAAAGCGUGGGUAGCGAACA
This 422-nucleotide ribosomal RNA is filed under the name uncultured bacterium. RNAcentral describes it as "bacterial SSU rRNA". It matches the Rfam family "Bacterial small subunit ribosomal RNA", at positions 355 to 774 of the family's 1533-position model. The record is from RNAcentral.